UAACAGUGACACACUUCCUCCAAGAAGG
This 28-nucleotide non-coding RNA is filed under the name Rattus norvegicus (Norway rat). The record is from RNAcentral. Lineage: Eukaryota; Metazoa; Chordata; Mammalia; Rodentia; Muridae.